This 253-nucleotide ribosomal RNA is filed under the name uncultured prokaryote. RNAcentral describes it as "partial 16S ribosomal RNA". It matches the Rfam family "Bacterial small subunit ribosomal RNA", at positions 525 to 777 of the family's 1533-position model. The record is from RNAcentral.
ACAGAGGCCUCGAGCGUUAGGCGGAAUCACUGGGCUUAAAGCGUGUGUAGGCGGACCUCUAAGUACCUUGUGAAAUCCCACGGCUCACCCGUGGAACCGCUGGGUAUACUGGGGGUCUUGGGCCAUUCAGGGGCGACUGGAACAAGCGGUGGAGCGGUGAAAUGCGUAGAUAUCGCUUGGAACGCCGAAGGUGAAAACAGGCUGCUGGGGUUGUGCCGACGCUGAGACACGAAAGCCAGGGGAGCAAACGGGA